This is a long non-coding RNA of Bombina bombina (fire-bellied toad), 386 nucleotides long. RefSeq lists it as uncharacterized. The record is from RefSeq and is a predicted model, not a curated record. Lineage: Eukaryota; Metazoa; Chordata; Amphibia; Anura; Bombinatoridae. The transcript is spliced from 2 exons.
GGAUAAGCUACAGGGGCUGAGCUAAGAACAGCUGAAUGAAGGAGCCAGCAAUCAUUAAAGAUCUACACAUUGCUAUACAAUGGGUUGUCAAGAAUGAGGCACUGUUCUGUGGGCGCAUAACCAUGCCAAGUUAUGGGUCAAUGAAUGAAGAUGACCGCCAGAAGGCCAUAGAUAACGUGAUGUAAAGAGAAGAACCAGAAGCAAGGGAGCCAUUCCUCUUUGUAUUUCAGCACAGAGAAGAUAUGGAGUUGUUUUUGCAGGCAUGUCUUGACCAACAGGGCCUCCAAGUUAAUGCCAUGUUCAACAAAUGACUGAUGGACAAGGGGCGGUGGUGUGUUUCUGUUUAAAUUAUUGAUAAUAAUAAAAAAAUAAGAUAAUUAACACCA